CAGCCCCCUGAGUGGUAAGGACGAUUAUUUGGCCUAAAGCGUUCGUAGCCGGCUUAUCAAGUCUUUUGUUAAAUCCAACGAUUCAAUCGUUGGGCCGCAAAAGAUACUGUUAUGCUAGAGGACGGGAGAGGUCGACGGUAGUCCAGGGAUAGGGGUGAAAUCCUAUAAUCCUUGGAGGACCACCAGUGGCGAAGGCGGUCGACUAGAACGUGCCUGACGGUGAGGGACAAAAGCUGGGGAGCGAACCGGAUUAGAUACCCGGGUAGUCCCAGCCGUAAACGAUGCGGGCUAGGUGUUGGGGCAGCCACGAGCUGCUCCCAGUGCCGCAGAGAAGUUGUUAAGCCCGCCGCCUGGGGGAGUACGGCCGCAAGGCUG
RNAcentral lists this ribosomal RNA (375 nucleotides) under uncultured organism. RNAcentral's name for it is "partial 16S ribosomal RNA". It matches the Rfam family "Archaeal small subunit ribosomal RNA", at positions 477 to 851 of the family's 1478-position model. The record is from RNAcentral.